Molecule: long non-coding RNA, 292 nt
Filed under: Vigna radiata
Lineage: Eukaryota; Viridiplantae; Streptophyta; Magnoliopsida; Fabales; Fabaceae
Description: long non-coding RNA (VRAD_LNC000912)
Source: RNAcentral
ACCUUAUCACCGUCUUCCAUCUCUGUGUGUUGGUACUGUCUUCGCAGAGCUUGUAGCUGGACUUUCUUGACCUUUUCUCCUCCAGAGUGACAACGAAAAAGAAUGUUCCAAGCUUCUCUCACCGACAUUGCAUUCUGGAUCUUUUCAAAGUUUGUGUCGUCAACACAUUGAUGUAUUAUUAACAGUGCCUUGUCGUCUUUUUCUUUGAAUUCUUUCUUUUGCUCCUCCUUACCAGAAGAGUCAACCAUUGAAUCUCCUUCGACCACAUUGCUGACCUUCUGUACGCGGAAAA